This 77-nucleotide transfer RNA is filed under the name Candidatus Buchananbacteria bacterium RIFCSPHIGHO2_02_FULL_45_11b. RNAcentral describes it as "tRNA-Val". It matches the Rfam family "tRNA". Rfam says of the family: Transfer RNA (tRNA) molecules are approximately 80 nucleotides in length. Their secondary structure includes four short double-helical elements and three loops (D, anti-codon, and T loops). Further hydrogen bonds mediate the characteristic L-shaped molecular structure. tRNAs have two regions of fundamental functional importance: the anti-codon, which is responsible for specific mRNA codon recognition, and the 3' end, to which the tRNAs corresponding amino acid is attached (by aminoacyl-tRNA synthetases). tRNAs cope with the degeneracy of the genetic code in two manners: having more than one tRNA (with a specific anti-codon) for a particular amino acid; and 'wobble' base-pairing, i.e. permitting non-standard base-pairing at the 3rd anti-codon position. The record is from RNAcentral. Lineage: Bacteria; Candidatus Buchananiibacteriota. RNAcentral also lists the same sequence under 3 other names.
GGGCAACUAGCUCAGUUGGUUAGAGCGUCUCGUUUACACCGAGAAGGUCGGGGGUUCGACUCCCUCGUUGCCCACCA